UGGGGAAUAUUGGACAAUGGGCGCAAGCCUGAUCCAGCCAUGCCGCGUGUGUGAAGAAGGCCUUUUGGUUGUAAAGCACUUUAAGCGAGGAGGAGGCUACUUGGAUUAAUACUCUAGGAUAGUGGACGUUACUCGCAGAAUAAGCACCGGCUAACUCUGUGCCAGCAGCCGCGGUAAUACAGAGGGUGCGAGCGUUAAUCGGAUUUACUGGGCGUAAAGCGUGCGUAGGCGGCUUCUUAAGUCGGAUGUGAAAUCCCUGAGCUUAACUUAGGAAUUGCAUUCGAUACUGGGAAGCUAGAGUAUGGGAGAGGAUGGUAGAAUUCCAGGUGUAGCGGUGAUAUGCGUAGAGAUCUGGAGGAAUACCGAUGGCGAAGGCAGCCAUCUGGCCUAAUACUGACGCUGAGGUACGAAAGCAUGGGGAGCAAACAGG
RNAcentral lists this ribosomal RNA (430 nucleotides) under bacterium. Its description in RNAcentral is "partial 16S ribosomal RNA". It matches the Rfam family "Bacterial small subunit ribosomal RNA", at positions 355 to 776 of the family's 1533-position model. The record is from RNAcentral.